This 6028-nucleotide unclassified non-coding RNA is filed under the name Leishmania donovani. RNAcentral describes it as "gene:LdHU3.32.1020(CDS-product:protein_kinase_put ative)". Lineage: Eukaryota; Euglenozoa; Kinetoplastea; Trypanosomatida; Trypanosomatidae. The record is from RNAcentral.
UUUUUCUCUUUCGUGGUUUUGUGUGCUGCUCCCGUGCGCAUCCACCGCCGCUACCGUUAAACUCCCUCCCGACUUUCCCUAGCCGCUGCAUCGCGGAUUCACCAGAUCACCUCUUUCUCGCGCGGCAAGUGCCCGGUCUGCGUGUGCAUACGCUUGCGUCCAACUUUAGCACUGAAUUGUAGCGGGCCGGUGUCGCGUCGCAGUGAUACAGAAGGAUCGACAGAGGAACACGUCAAGUAGGGUGAAGGAACGGCGCAGAGGCAGAGAGCUCAUCGUACCAGUCACCUCUACGCAUAUAUAUAUAUAUAUACAUGCAGGUGCAUCCAUACACACGCGAGCUGCUUCAGUGUUCAUGUAAUCUUCCCCCUUCCUUUUGCCUCCUCCUCUAUUGCAGGGUUUCACCUGGAAAGCAAAACACAUACAUACACACACACACCAACUCGCUCAUUCUCCUUCGCACAGGUUGCCGUCUUCCUUGAUUUUCACCAGGAGCACGCUCCGAUCUACAUAUCGCUGCUGCCGCUAUCACGGACGUUGCCGUUUUCUUCUGCCGUAGCUGCGACGGCUUCUGCUCUUCUCUUCCUUUUCCUCUCUCUUUGGACGCCUCUUUUUGUGUGUGUUGUUCCAGUGUGCUUGCUAAUGCUCGUAUUCUCACUGUUGUGCGAGUAGACGUUGCCUCUGUACCGCUCUGCUUCUUUUCGGCAACUGUGGCUGCCGUGUACGUGCGCGAGAGUUUCCGUCGCGUAAUUGUGACUGUGACUGUGUGUGUGUGCAGCUCUCUUUCUCUCUGCUGGUAUGGGCGUAUUUGCUUACUGCUGUCACCCACCGUUUUUCUUUGCUAUUGUGUUCCUUAUACCUUGAUACACGCCUGCCUCCCUCUCUCUGUUGUACACGCGCCUCUCUCUGUGUGUUCCUACGAAACUGCGCGUGUGUCUGUGCGGUUAAUCUCGUCGCUGGUGCUCACUGUGUAACAUCUUGUUUUUUUUUCCUCGGUAAAGUUCUGUCUGUCUGUCUGUUCUCCCCACCCUCAGGCUAAUUGUGAAAGCCGUUGUUUGUGCGGGGGUGUCCGUGCGCUUUCUUGGAGACCGUGUAUAAUUCCUUUCGCACUCGCCUCUCAUCACCGCAGAUCCACACCGUCUAACACCCCCUUCCCCCCUCUGUGUAUGUGCACGCGUGUGCCUGCGCACAGACGCAAGCACGGGCGGACACGCUAAGAUACACUAUCGUCCAUAUAUAUCGCGAAGAAUUGUUCUCUUCCCGAUUGGACAUCGCAUUGCCCGACAAGCGCAACAAGAGGAAAGAGAGACACAGGAAGGGAGAGCGACAAGGGACCUGAACUCUGGGGACUCCUGCCGUGGCGGCGACGGACUUGCUGCUGAGCGCCGCACAGCCUUUUCGGAUCUCCCAAGAUCAUCUUUGCUCUUUUUUUUUCUCGUUUUGCCCCUCCCCCCUCCCCCUCCUCCUUCUUCCCUUUUUCGUGUUGUGUUUGUCUUCCGUGCUACGUCUGUGCUGCUUGUUUGUACGGGCUUCAUCACCAGGGAGGAGCGUGAGGAACGCCCUCACAUUUCACGAACUCUUUCUCUCCAGCCUUACAAAAAGUCAAGACCACCAAGCGACGGCAGCUUCCACUGCUUCACCUCAUCCCGGCGCGCUCUCGGCCAUCGCUUCUGAUGGACAGCACGCUGGCAAAGCUCCCCGCCACGCGGUGGGACCGCCUGAUGGCGGUGCUGGAAGAAAACGAGCCCGAGCGAGCGAUCGAUGCCCCAAACAUCCUGGAACGGGCCAAGAAGCUGAACUUGUCUGACUUGGAGCUGUUUUAUCUUCUACUCAUGCGCUACCAGGAUAAGCAGCCAAAGAUUUUGAUGGACGUGGUGAGCCUCUACGCAAUGAUGAGUACGUGGAUGGAGUGGAUCGUGCAGGUGCAGCGCUGCCUGGACGCGAAGAAGCGCAAGAUGGACGCCGGCAGCCCUUCCCAUACGGCCACAGGGGUGCCGGUGCUGAUGCCCACUUCGUCCGACUUCGCCGACUCUGGGCGCACAUUCCUGUCCUGCCCCAGUAGCAACUGCACGAACACCCCGAUUUCCUCAAAUCCGGCGUACAGUUCAGAAAACUACGGCAAUGACUUCGGUAGCCGGCCGGACAGCGCCACCCAUGCCGCCCGCAACCCCGUCUCCUCGACCGUGCGCGGGUUUCACGAUAAAUCGGGCCGCCGCAGCCACUCGACGAGCUUCCACUGGUGCUUUGACCUCGGCCCUGACUGGAAGUGGGACGGCUCACUGGACUUUCUGCGCAACGGACGCGUGCUGAGCUGUCUCGUGGAGGAGGCCCUGGACCGCUGUGGCAAGUUGGAGGUGCUGCCGGACGACCACCGCGUUCACCCAGGGACGCCGAACCCCAUCACCCACGAGAUCCUGUACCCCUCGCUGGCGGACAUCGAUCGUGUCUUCAAGGGCGCAGCCGAGGAUGGAGCAACUGACGUCGUCAGCGCGAGCAGGUCCUUUAGCAAACUGAACUAUCUCUCCACCCUCGACUUCUCACGUGGGCUACAGCUAAGCCGAGGUGACAAGGCGCAGCCCUCAAAGGCACUGAAACUGAUCGAGGAACAAGGGAAGAACCUUGCAGCGGCGGAGCAGUGGGUGCGAAAGCUGAAUAGCAUGUGCGAGCGCUUUCUCGGCUGGGAAAAGUCGGCGCACGAAAACCGCGCCUUCUUCGACCUCUGCAACCCCGACAACCUUGUACGCCCGCUCAACUCGGACGACGCGCGUUUGCUCUACCGCAUGCACUGGCUUGCCGUGGCACUUUACCGCGCUGUCAAGGAUGCGUCCAUUAUACCGGCGCCACCGCGCAUGAGCUUCAUUGUAUGCCACGACGACCUUGGAGGACUGCCGGACACAUCGGCGGAGGACGACGAAAUCGGCCUUUUAGUGGCUACCAAGUGCAGCUGUCUCCCCCUCAAAGCGCGUCUGAGCGUGACCAUGAAGGACUUCAACACCAUGCAGCUGCUCCACCCCGACAUGAAGCACGGCCCCCGCGUCCUGCCGUGCACCAUAGUGAAAGGCGAGGUAUUUGCUUACUUUGAGGAGCGCCAUACCUUUGUCCCGGUUUGGUCGGUCUUCCAGUACCAUCUCCAGCACUUUGACGGGCUGGUCUGGUGCUUCGAGAUGAGCCGCCAAGAACGGGAGCAAGAGCGACAGGUGCUCGGGACGAACUUCUCAGCCACUCGCCCGGACCUCGGCGCCAGUGAUGACUUCGCCUUCAACGGUAGCAGUGCGGCGUUCGACCUCACGGUGCACAGCUCCACUGUUCGACACGACCGCCAGCGCAGACCACCAGAGUCUCCGAGCAAUACCCAGUGGAUGCGCGGAUCGAUCACCCCCAAACCCUUUGAUUUGCCCACUGAUUGCAAGGCGUCUGUCACGCUGCUGCCACAACGUUUUCCCCACCAGCCAGCGGCACAGUCGGGCACCGGCGUCGAGAUGGGCGUCAGUGUGUCAAAGGUGCGGCUAAACCGCAUUGCUAUUCCGUCCCCCCGCCCUUCCUCGGCAUGCCCGUCGCCCUCCUCAUCACCGGCUACCACUUCAAGGGCUGCUGACCCUUUUGCGCAACUGAGCGCCACCCCAGCUGCUGGAACCGGCAUCACUAACAACGCCAACGCCUUCUCAUCGACGACCUGCGGAGUUUCUACCGCUGUCGUCACCAGCGCGUCAUCAUCGGGCAUCGACGCAGUCUUGAACGCCAUCAAGAGCCCGAUUUCAGACUUGUCGCUGUCGAUGACGGCCUCGCGACAGGCUACGGCGGUGUGCACGACUGGGGAGCAGGAGACACCGUCGACGCACAUUGCAUACCUUCUCCCCCCCAAACGAUCGAGCGAGGCGCUUGACGAAUCAACAGAGAACACCGAGCUUCUCUCGCGAGAGGUGACGGUGUGCAUGGAGGCAAAGACGAAGGAGGUUGUGGAGCGUGACCGCAUUGUCGGCGCUGCCGCCAGCGAUGCGGCGGUGCUGAAGCCGUCCUGCACCAUUUCCUGCUCCCCUUGCUCGCAGGUGAUGGUGACUCAGGAGGCGCACUAUCACGGCGGCGCCGAGGCGCCGGAGGAAGACGAUGAUGUGAUCAGCGACGCGACGAUGACGGUGGUGUGCAGCGAGAGCCACACGAUCAUCCGAAACUUCACUGCAGCAGUGGUGCAGGAGUCGGAGCAGAGCGGCAUUUCGAUCUUGUCCCACCACUUCCGCGUAAGCAGCGGCCCCAUCGGGAAGGGUGCCUUUGGUGCCGUAUACAGGGCUCUGAAUCUGGAUACGGGCAGAAUCGUAGCGGUGAAGCAGUCGCGCUACUCUUACGAUGACAAAACAGCGGACCUCAACUGGCGUGAGUUUCAAAUGUGGUCGAUGCUGCCGCCGCACGCAAACGUCAUCACCUUCUACGGUGCGUCGAGGGAGGUCGACACGAACCAGCUACUGCUCGUCAUGGAGUACGCCAGCGGCGGCAGCAUUGUGCAGCUGUACCGCUACUUUCGGCCCAUUCCAGAGCCGCUCUUCUACGAUCACGCCGUCGGCAUUGCACGCGGCCUGAAGCACCUGCACGACCACAAUGUGAUCCACGGUGACGUGAAGCCGGAAAAUGUGCUGACGCGCUCAGACGGCAGUGUGGCCAUCUCUGACUUCGGGUGCAGUAGCUUCUCCUUGGUCAGCUCGGACAACGGCAGUCCUUUGCUCCGCUCCUCCAAGCGAGAGAGCGGCUCCUUGCAGCUAUUCGGGACAGCUGCGUACAUGGCACCGGAGGUGAUCUUGAAUGAGCCACACCUCAAGUCAGAUGUGUGGGCCUACGCGUGUACGCUGGUGCAGCUGUGGCUGGGAAAGUCACCGUGGUCCUAUGGUGAGCGCCGCUUCUCGGCACUGGACUCUAUUCCACUCAUGUUCUACAUUGCGAAUGAGGAGGUGGUGCCCUUCACGACGGAGCAGCUAGAGAGGUCGCCGAGGUGGUUGCAAUGCAUCGCCCGACGCGCGUUUGAGCGGGACGUGGAGCGGCGCUGCACCAUGGCAGAAAUCAUCAGCAUCCUGGCCGAUUACAGCAAAGUGUACCGCCCGUAGGCCACUCCGCAAGCUUUUUGCGGAUGUGCUCAUGCCUCAUCCCCCUGUUCACUUUAUUUCUCCUCUGCUCACCACCUCUCUCGCCUGCUCUCGAUCCUCUCUGUCCUUGUACCGUCCGCGCUGUUCUUGUCGUUGCCGCUGGUUCUCAUGUCGUGCUUCUGUCUCUUCCAUUUUUCCUUUUUUUCCUUCGGGAUUUGUGCGUAUUUCACUGCCGCCUUCCUCAUCACUUUUCCGCCCCUCUGUUGUUGCUGUCUUCUUCGCCUUUGUUGUCCUUUUCGUGGGCAGGCGCCUUUCUUUUCUCCUUGCUCUACCCUCCUCCCCCCCAUCUCUCUCCUUGUGCGUCCGUGUGCCGGCCUCGUCUGUCUCUCUCCCAGCCUCAUCACAGCCUCCCCUUCCUACACCUCUGCUCUGUGUCCUAUGUGUAUGUGCGUUCACGAUUGCGUGCGCGCAUGGGUGGGACAGGCUCAUGAGCGUAUGUCUCUCUGUAUAUGUGUAUGUGUACGUGUAUGUGUAUGUGCGUGUGUGCGGUCAUACCUUUCCGACCUUUCUUGCUACUGCUUCUUCUCUCGUCGCUUCGCUUACCGACUUCUCUUGCCUUUUGUAUUUUUUCUUUUUCGUCGGUGCGUGCUUUCCUCACCGUCGAGCUCUCCCCCAUUCGUCUGUUCGUCUGGUCGGCUCUCACUGUAUGCCCAACGACAGCGAGAAACCGAAAAUAUAACAUACACUCGCACACAGCCCCCUCACCUAGGAGCCGUUGCAGGAAACGCUGCGUUAUAUGGAGAAAAGGGUGUCUUAUAAUUCCGCCCUAUCGCUUUCUUGUUAACCCACCGCAUCCUUGUCGUGGCGUGGGAGGGGGCUGGUGACAGCGAGAGCGAGUGCGUUCGAUAUUGACACCUGUAUAUGUGUAAUGUGCCCGUAGAUCCUCUGCUGGGGUGAUCUAG